GGGGGAAUAGUUCACUGGUAGAGUGUGUGCUUGGUGUGCACAAGGUCUUGGGUUCAAUCCCCAGUACCUCUA
Molecule: transfer RNA, 72 nt
Organism: Camelus ferus (Wild Bactrian camel)
Lineage: Eukaryota; Metazoa; Chordata; Mammalia; Artiodactyla; Camelidae
Rfam family: tRNA
About the family: Transfer RNA (tRNA) molecules are approximately 80 nucleotides in length. Their secondary structure includes four short double-helical elements and three loops (D, anti-codon, and T loops).
Source: Rfam